CCGCCGCGAUCCCUGCGCACCACGGCCCUGCCCGCCACGGGGCGAGCCCGAUAAGAGGGCUGUGGACGUUCGGGUCUAGUUGGGAGAGACAGGGGUCCCUGACUCUUGAGCGGUCAGUCAUUUCCUCCCCAGUCCUUGUGGGUGACGUGGCUACGGUUUGGAGCAGCAAGCCCCCUCCCCGAACUAAAGGGCCUCUCCAAAGGUUAAGCCAGGGCAGUCAUUGAGGUCAAAACCAAUAUGUAGUUUCUUGACUGCAGGUGCCUGCACGACUCCCAGAAAGUCGCGUCUCCCCUAACCCCCAUGCCCAGGACCUGAGGACAAAGGUCUAGCGAUUGUCCAUCCCCUCCCCCAGUGAGGACAGCCGGGAAAGACCUGCCUUUGUUGUGUACAGGUGGUAUCUCACUGUGUUAUCCAGACUGGACUCAAAUUUCUGGGCUCCAAUGGUCCUCUCACCUCAGCCUCCCAAGUAGUCAGGACUACAGGUAACUUGUGUGCCGUGAUAGCACAGCCAAUACUUUGGAGACUUGAGCAAAUGGUGGAGGGAAAUGCCAAUCAAUAAUAUUGAUGAUAAAUGUUUACCAGAUGUCUGAUCAAUCAAUAAUGAAGCAAAACAGAAACAGGAACAAAAUGAAACAAAAAUUAAGGCCUUAUAGCAUUGCUCUGUUGUGUGUUGAAUUGAAAUCCUAAACCCUGUGGCUGUGACUUUAUUUGGAAAUAGGAUCCUUGGAGACAUGAUCAAGUUAAGAACUCCAUGGCAAUGUUUUGAGGAUUAAAGAGGAGAGUGAUGACUAUCCAAACGUCAGAGAACGCAACUAUGAGACUAGAGACACUGGAAAACUAAAAAAGUAACGGGCCUUUGCUGACUCAGGGAGAUGAUUUCCCAAGAGGGAAGAAAACUGGAACCUGAGAAAUAAGUGAUUUAGUAAUGUGGCUGCUAAAAUACGGAAAAACUAGAAUGAAUGGCUUACACAUUUUUGAAAUGAAGUUAGAAGAGGGUUAUACUGUGAAGAAGAAUGAAAAAGCCAAACAUUUCAUUCAGGUAAGCAUAUCACAUAGGAGAAACUCUAGGUGACUUUGGUUUGGCAGUGAGUUUUUAGAUACAACACCAAAGCACAAUCCAUAAAAGAAAAGAAAGAUAGAUAAGUUGGACUUCAUUAAAAUGAA
Molecule: long non-coding RNA, 1164 nt
Filed under: Homo sapiens (human)
Lineage: Eukaryota; Metazoa; Chordata; Mammalia; Primates; Hominidae
Description: HSALNT0334032
Source: RNAcentral